This 301-nucleotide ribosomal RNA is filed under the name uncultured bacterium. Its description in RNAcentral is "partial 16S ribosomal RNA". It matches the Rfam family "Bacterial small subunit ribosomal RNA", at positions 509 to 807 of the family's 1533-position model. The record is from RNAcentral.
CAGUCGCCGCGGUAAUACGAAGGGUGCAAGCGUUACUCGGAUUAACUGGGCGUAAAGCGUGCGUAGGCGGCUUCUUAAGUCGGAUGUGAAAUCCCUGAGCUUAACUUAGGAAUUGCAUUCGAUACUGGGAAGCUAGAGUAUGGGAGAGGAUGGUAGAAUUCCAGGUGUAGCGGUGAAAUGCGUAGAGAUCUGGAGGAAUACCGAUGGCGAAGGCAGCCAUCUGGCCUAAUACUGACGCUGAGGUACGAAAGCAUGGGGAGCAAACAGGAUUAGAUACCCCGGUAGUCCCUGUCUCUUAUAC